Molecule: non-coding RNA, 905 nt
Organism: Carlito syrichta (Philippine tarsier)
Lineage: Eukaryota; Metazoa; Chordata; Mammalia; Primates; Tarsiidae
Source: the annotation of a RefSeq genome assembly
GCUCUGCAGUUCAACUUCUCAAAAUGAGAUUCUCUGCUCAGCUCCUGGGGCUGCUGAUGCUCUGGGUCCCUGGAUGCAAUGGAGAUAUUGUGAUGACUCAGACUGCACACUCUCUGCCCGUCACCCUUGGAGAGCCAGCCUCCAUCUCCUGCAGGUCUAGUCAGAGCCUGCUGCACAGUGAUGGAAACACCUAUUUGAGUUGGUACCUGCAGAAACCAGGCCAUUCUCCACAGGGCCUGAUCUAUAAGGUUUCCAACCGGUUUUCUGGGGUCCCAGACAGAUUCAGUGGCAGCGGGUCAGGGACAGAUUUCACACUGAAAAUCAGCAGAGUGGAGGCUGAGGAUGUUGGAGUUUACUACUGCAUGCAAUACACACAAUGGCCUCGGACGUUUGGUCAAGGGACCAAGGUGGAAAUCAAACGGGAUGUGGCUAAGCCUGAUGCCACCAUCUUCCCACCACAUUCGGAGCAGUUGCAGACAGGAGACGCCACUCUUUUGUGCUUGGUGAACGGCUUCUACCCAAAAGACGUAACUAUCAAGUGGAAGGCGGAUGGUGUCCCCCAGACAGCUAAUGUCCAGAACAGUCUCACAGAGCAGGACAGCAAGGACAGCACCUACAACCUCGCCAGCAUGAUGACGAUGAGCAGUUCAGACUAUCUUAGGCACAAAAAUUUUGAAUGUGAGAUCAGCCAUUCGAGCAUGAGCUUGCCCCUCAUCAAGAGCUUUAAUACGAAUGAAUGUUAGAGGGAGAAGCCUUGCAGGACCCCCCCCCAACUUCUCAUGCCCAGCCCUGCCUCCGGCCCUCCUUCGACCUCAAGCCCUUUUUUUUCUGUAGGGGACCUACCCCUAUUGUUUCCCUCACCCUCCUCCCCACACCUCAUGCCCCCUUCUCUUCUUUGGCUUUAA